AAAAAAAACUCUGUGUGAUCGUAUAGCCAUUUUUUAUUUAUAUAAAAAUACAUGUAUAUCAAAUAAAAGAGAGCAUUUGUAUAAUAUCUAGUAGAGUCUAGCGAGUAAAUAAUAAAUGAUAUCUGUGGAAAAACAAUGCGAAUGUUGUUUACAUAUUUUAAUGAAAGCUCAAGUCUGAUAUGAAAACUCUUAUAACGAUAAUCUGUCAUAAGCAGACCUGUCCUCAGGUCUGGUCAAUAGCAGACUUGUCCACAGGUCUGGUCAAAAGCAGACCUGUCCUCAGGUCUGGUCAGGAGCAGACCUGUCCACAGGUCUGGUCUGAGGCAGACCUGUCCUUAGGACUGGUCAAAAGCAGACUUGUCCACAGGUCUGGUCUGGGGCAGACCUGUCCUCAGGACUGGUCAAAAGCAGACUUGUCCACAGGUCUGGUCUGGAGCAGACUUGUCGAUAGGUCUGCAGCAGUCCUAAAAAAGCAGACCGUAGGUCUGGUCCACCAACGACGAAGUUAACUUGCUUGACUGCUUAAAAAUUCUCAAGUUAACUUAGAAAGCAGUCAACAAGUUAACUCUAAGUUAACUUUUGUCAAGGUUAGGACCGCACCCAUCUGUAUAUAUA
RNAcentral lists this long non-coding RNA (615 nucleotides) under Mytilus galloprovincialis (Mediterranean mussel). Lineage: Eukaryota; Metazoa; Mollusca; Bivalvia; Mytilida; Mytilidae. The record is from RNAcentral.